UGGUUAUUUCCCCAUGAGCAGAAGGGAGCUUUGUCUGCACGUAGCUGGGUGGGGGCGGGUGCCCUGAUUACCAUGGAGUCUCCUAACCCAAUUCCUCACUUCAACAGAGCUGAGGCCCAGAUGCAGAGCUGGGGACUGCUGAAGGUCAGGAGUGCCUUUGAGCACAGAUCUCCUGUACAGGAGAGUUUAUAGAACACACCAGCAUGUCCAGCACUGCUGACACUCUGCAGGAGGCACACACAUCCAAAGACCUGGGCUUUGUCCUCCGAGAAAAUUGUGAGGGCAGACUAGAUUAACCCACGAUAUGACAAGGUUUUACAUCGAAUGCAAAUGGCAUCACCAAGAUAAUGGAUGCUCUUUCUACCAGUGGAUUGAGAGCCCAUCCCACAGUUCUUUGUGGAACACAGAUGUUCUGCCCUCAACCCUGAGAGGAGAGCUACAUGCUUCCAAGUGGCUGGGCAUUCAGAUUCCUAAAGACCCUAAUUGGGUUUCUGGGGUCUGCCUGUGUCCUGCUAGUGCUGGGCUGCUGGCUAAAAUAGUUCAGGCCAUAAAAAUAACAGAAUGAAAAUACUUGAAAUAACCACAUAGCCACAUAUUCCAUGCAGAGGCUAGUAAAACUUCCAAAUUACGCCAGGGCUGCUCUUCAAGGCCACAAGAGCACACAGCUGAAUGGAAAAGGAAGGGAUAUUUGCAGAAUGAGCUUAGCUCCAAUCAGUAUAAGUUUCCUCUAUCCUUCUCAACAAAACCUUCUUGGAGCCCUUUGGAAUAAUUUAUAAAGGUUGUCUUCUUUUAAAAAUGUUUUUUCAGGCCACAAUAAAGCAUGGACUUUCCAUAUUGCUUUCUUCAAUAUGACUAAUCAAAUACUUGACUGGAAGAGACAAGGUCCAAUAAAGCUUUGUGGUUCUGACCCACCCAUUCUACCUAGAAUAACUCUGCUACUCAUCCUGUCUAGACCAACACCAUGUUUUCUCGAGAUUUUCAAAGAACACCUCAACUGGCCUGUCUCAUCCCACUUUUCCUCUCUCACCUCUGUUGUACAAAAAGCACUUAUUUCCCCCAUGAACAUCAGUUAUGACCUCCUUCAGUUCAAUGCACUCUGGUAGUUUUCCACUGUUCCCAAGUUCAAACACCUUCCCAGAGCCUGGGGGCCCACAGUAGUCUAGUUUAGCCUGCCUUGGUCUUAUCAUGUGUCAUUUUUUUUUAACUUGGUACCUAUCUUUGGAGGCUCUGUACUCUUUUCAGGGUCUUCUAACUUUUCCUCAAUUCUUUUCACACUCCUUCUAAUCCUGAAGGGGCCAGCUCCCCAUUUUGGCAGCCAUAACAGCAGAACACGUACUUGCCUGACCUUGUCUUGGUCACUAGGAGGUCAGAUGCCU
This is a non-coding RNA of Cricetulus griseus (Chinese hamster), 1376 nucleotides long. Lineage: Eukaryota; Metazoa; Chordata; Mammalia; Rodentia; Cricetidae. The record is from RefSeq and is a predicted model, not a curated record.